This 328-nucleotide long non-coding RNA is filed under the name Ananas comosus (pineapple). Its description in RNAcentral is "long non-coding RNA (ACOM_LNC003572)". Lineage: Eukaryota; Viridiplantae; Streptophyta; Magnoliopsida; Poales; Bromeliaceae. The record is from RNAcentral.
CUAUCCACAACUAUCAUCAUGCAAUCAACAAGGUAUAUAUAAACAAACGAUAAACAAACGUAAUCGACAUGUAGAGACUACGAUACUGAUAUGAAAGAAUAGAGGAAAGUGAAACGAUCUCACUGACUACCAGCUCGAAGCACCCACCUUCACUAUCGCGUCGAAAACCUAGGUGCGCAACAAGUCAACCGGAUCUACGAAGAUCCACCGGAUCAGUAACCAACCCACCAAUCCAACAUACUCAACUCACAAACCCCACACAAAUCCCCAAAAUCGGUUUCCUUAAACCGAUUACCGUAACUUGCCAGAAGUCCCGAAAAUCACACUG